Molecule: ribosomal RNA, 468 nt
Filed under: uncultured bacterium
Lineage: Bacteria
Description: partial 16S ribosomal RNA
Rfam family: Bacterial small subunit ribosomal RNA
Source: RNAcentral
GACGAACGCUGGCGGCGUGCUUAACACAUGCAAGUCGAACGGAAAGGCCCUGCUUUUGUGGGGUGCUCGAGUGGCGAACGGGUGAGUAACACGUGAGUAACCUGCCCUUGACUUUGGGAUAACUUCAGGAAACUGGGGCUAAUACCGGAUAGGAGCUCCUGCUGCAUGGUGGGGGUUGGAAAGUUUCGGCGGUUGGGGAUGGACUCGCGGCUUAUCAGCUUGUUGGUGGGGUAGUGGCUUACCAAGGCUUUGACGGGUAGCCGGCCUGAGAGGGUGACCGGCCACAGUGGGACUGAGAUACGGCCCAGCCUCCUACGGGAGGCAGCAGUGGGGAAUAUUGCACAAUGGGCGGAAGCCUGAUGCAGCAACGCCGCGUGCGGGAUGACGGCCUUCGGGUUGUAAACCGCUUUCGCCUGUGACGAAGCGUGAGUGACGGUAAUGGGUAAAGAAGCACCGGCUAACUACGUG